RNAcentral lists this ribosomal RNA (617 nucleotides) under uncultured bacterium. RNAcentral describes it as "bacterial SSU rRNA". It matches the Rfam family "Bacterial small subunit ribosomal RNA", at positions 338 to 946 of the family's 1533-position model. The record is from RNAcentral.
CCUACGGGAGCAGCAGUGGGGAAUUUUGGACAAUGGGGGCAACCCUGAUCCAGCAAUGCCGCGUGAGUGAAGAAGGCCUUCGGGUUGUAAAGCUCUUUUGUCAGGGAAGAAACGGUGUGGGCUAAUAUCUCAUGCUAAUGACGGUACCUGAAGAAUAAGCACCGGCUAACUACGUGCCAGCAGCCGCGGUAAUACGUAGGGUGCAAGCGUUAAUCGGAAUUACUGGGCGUAAAGCGUGCGCAGGCGGUUUUGUAAGACUGUCGUGAAAUCCCCGGGCUCAACCUGGGAAUGGCGAUGGUGACUGCAAGGCUAGAGUUUGGCAGAGGGGGGUAGAAUUCCACGUGUAGCAGUGAAAUGCGUAGAUAUGUGGAGGAACACCGAUGGCGAAGGCAGCCCCCUGGGUCAAAACUGACGCUCAUGCACGAAAGCGUGGGGAGCAAACAGGAUUAGAUACCCUGGUAGUCCACGCCCUAAACGAUGUCUACUAGUUGUCGGGUUUUAAUUAACUUGGUAACGCAGCUAACGCGUGAAGUAGACCGCCUGGGGAGUACGGUCGCAAGAUUAAAACUUAAAGAUAGUACGCGNGNGAGAGCGACGACGACGACGAGGAGGAGGAG